This 427-nucleotide ribosomal RNA is filed under the name uncultured bacterium. Its description in RNAcentral is "partial 16S ribosomal RNA". It matches the Rfam family "Bacterial small subunit ribosomal RNA", at positions 355 to 774 of the family's 1533-position model. The record is from RNAcentral.
UGGGGAAUAUUGCACAAUGGGCGCAAGCCUGAUGCAGCCAUGCCGCGUGUAUGAAGAAGGCCUUCGGGGUGUAAAGUACUUUCAGCGGGGAGGAAGGUGUUGUGGUUAAUAACCACAGCAAUUGACGUUACCCGCAGAAGAAGCACCGGCUAACUCCGUGCCAGCAGCCGCGGUAAUACGGAGGGUGCAAGCGUUACUCGGAAUUACUGGGCGUAAAGCGCACGCAGGCGGUCUGUCAAGUCGGAUGUGAAAUCCCCGGGCUCAACCUGGGAACUGCAUCCGAAACUGGCAGGCUUGAGUCUUGUAGAGGGGGGUAGAAUUCCAGGUGUAGCGGUGAAAUGCGUAGAGAUCUGGAGGAAUACCCGUGGCGAAGGCGGCCCCCUGGACAAAGACUGACGCUCAGGUGCGAAAGCGUGGGGAGCAAACA